This 1251-nucleotide ribosomal RNA is filed under the name Bacillus sp. C-32. RNAcentral's name for it is "partial 16S ribosomal RNA". It matches the Rfam family "Bacterial small subunit ribosomal RNA", at positions 31 to 1298 of the family's 1533-position model. The record is from RNAcentral. Lineage: Bacteria; Bacillati; Bacillota; Bacilli; Caryophanales; Bacillaceae.
AAGCAUUGCGGGUGCUAUACAUGCAGUCGAGCGGACAGAAGGGAGCUUGCUCCCGGAUGUUAGCGGCGGACGGGUGAGUAACACGUGGGUAACCUGCCUGUAAGACUGGGAUAACUCCGGGAAACCGGAGCUAAUACCGGAUAGUUCCUUGAACCGCAUGGUUCAAGGAUGAAAGACGGUUUCGGCUGUCACUUACAGAUGGACCCGCGGCGCAUUAGCUAGUUGGUGAGGUAACGGCUCACCAAGGCGACGAUGCGUAGCCGACCUGAGAGGGUGAUCGGCCACACUGGGACUGAGACACGGCCCAGACUCCUACGGGAGGCAGCAGUAGGGAAUCUUCCGCAAUGGACGAAAGUCUGACGGAGCAACGCCGCGUGAGUGAUGAAGGUUUUCGGAUCGUAAAGCUCUGUUGUUAGGGAAGAACAAGUGCAAGAGUAACUGCUUGCACCUUGACGGUACCUAACCAGAAAGCCACGGCUAACUACGUGCCAGCAGCCGCGGUAAUACGUAGGUGGCAAGCGUUGUCCGGAAUUAUUGGGCGUAAAGGGCUCGCAGGCGGUUUCUUAAGUCUGAUGUGAAAGCCCCCGGCUCAACCGGGGAGGGUCAUUGGAAACUGGGAAACUUGAGUGCAGAAGAGGAGAGUGGAAUUCCACGUGUAGCGGUGAAAUGCGUAGAGAUGUGGAGGAACACCAGUGGCGAAGGCGACUCUCUGGUCUGUAACUGACGCUGAGGAGCGAAAGCGUGGGGAGCGAACAGGAUUAGAUACCCUGGUAGUCCACGCCGUAAACGAUGAGUGCUAAGUGUUAGGGGGUUUCCGCCCCUUAGUGCUGCAGCUAACGCAUUAAGCACUCCGCCUGGGGAGUACGGUCGCAAGACUGAAACUCAAAGGAAUUGACGGGGGCCCGCACAAGCGGUGGAGCAUGUGGUUUAUUUCGAAGCACGCGAGAACCUUACCAGGUCUUGACAUCCUCUGACAACCCUAGAGAUAGGGCUUUCCCUUCGGGGACAGAGUGACAGGUGGUGCAUGGUUGUCGUCAGCUCGUGUCGUGAGAUGUGGGUUAGUCCCGCACGAGCGCACCCUGAUCUAGUUGCCAGCAUUUAGUGGGACUCCUAAGGUGACUGCCGGUGACAACCGAGAGGUGGGGAUGACGUCAUCAUCAUGCCCUUAUGACCUGGGCUACCACUGCCUCCAUUGACAGAAAAAGGCUGCGAGACCUAGGUUAGCCAAAUCCAAAAUCUGUGUCUCUCGAU